This 1926-nucleotide long non-coding RNA is filed under the name Oryza sativa (Asian cultivated rice). Its description in RNAcentral is "long non-coding RNA (OSAT_LNC000463)". The record is from RNAcentral. Lineage: Eukaryota; Viridiplantae; Streptophyta; Magnoliopsida; Poales; Poaceae.
AUUCUGAGGGAUUGUAGAUGGAUUAGUGGCUGCAGGAUGAGAUGCUUGUGAAUGAGGAAAUGUGGAGGCAGCCUGAGGAUAGGGUGCCCCUGCUUGAGGUGCUUGAGAAGCAAAUGAAGUGGGAGGUGCUUGAGAAGCAAAUGAAGCGGGAGCAGCAUGAGUUUGUGGACCAGCAGCUGCAGGCUGAGGUGCCUGGGAGGAGACAUAAGAUGGGACUGCCUGUUCAGGGUGCACAGAUGGGUUUGCAGGUGGUACCUCUGAAUGUGAUGAGGUGGGCACAAAAAUAUCUUGCUGCCCGGGUGCAGCAUUCGAUCCAAAAGAGAGGUCGCCAAGAGUGUCUCCAAAACCAAAGCUUGCUGCUGAAGCAGGCUGGAAAGGAUUUGCAUCUGCAGCAGGUUCAGUAGCAUGGAAAGAACCAGCAGGUGCAGCAUUUGUCUGAGAAACUGCAGGAGUUUCUUCAUGAACAGCCUUGAAAGGCGUAGGAUCCCCAAAAGGAUUAGUUGCAUCAAAGGCCUGCAAGGUCAAAAUCCAAAAGGAUAAGAUGAACAGGUGGUUGGAUUUAACUACCAGACAAGGCAAAUUCCAAUCAAAUAAACAUAGAACAACACAACCAUCCCAUCACCAAAACAAGUAUCUUGAUGUUAAUUCAAAAAGUUUGUACUGACCACAAUUCUGUGACCACUACUGCUGCUGUUUAAAUACAUUUAAGAAACAACAUGAUUUAAAUAAAGUUUUGUCCUAUAGUGUGUGUCACUUUGUCGCGUGCAAUUAUUCAAGCCCACAAAAUCAUAGAACUACAAUUCAGUAUAACAGAUCCAUGCCACCAUUAGAACAUGAGAUUAGUAUCGUGAAUGGCCUUAUGUUCAAUAGACGCGUACCUCAUUGAAUCCAGUAGAAGCCGGUGGCAUGCCCAUAAAACUGUUACUCUCAAAUCCUGGAUUUGCUGAUGGCUCAACAUUUGGGCUGGCAGUUGGCUGAGGCACAGAUACCAAAGCCAACGAAUUAAUAGGAUCUGGUCCGAAUAAAUCCAUUUCCAAGCUAUUCACGGCUUGUGAGGGGUUCACUGGAGGUGAGGUAUCUGACAUGGGAUGCAAAUAUUGAAAAAAAAAAUCAGUACUCAAUUACUACCAAAAGAUAUUGAUACUAGUAUAAUGCCAGAAUAGGGGUCAUUCCUUCUACAGUUCUCUUCAUAAAUGUAUCAGAAAAUAAUAUUGUGUGAUGCUUUCUAUUAAUGUGGGCUUUUGGUUCAUAUGCAAUGCAAUGUGUCAAAAAAGGAGGAAAAUAUACCUGGUACUGAUCCACGAGGAUCAAACUCGUCAAACCCAUUAACUUCAGGAUGAGUAGGUGGUGGUGCAGGUACGUCUUCCACAGUAUUAUCAUGUACACCAUUCACCUGACCUGGGGGUACACUUGUUCUUGGAGGUGAAGACACCUUUGCUGCAGCAACUGGCACAGGCACAGUCCCUCCAUUUCUGAUAUUGAACGGUAGUUCAGAAAUCAGAGAUCGUUGUCAUGUCUACUGAUCAAACAUUAUAACAUAAAAUACAUACCGUCCAUCAUGAUUAUUAUCCUGUGUAUCUCUUGUGACAUCUUCAUAGUUUGGCGGUGGUGAAGCAAUCUGCUGGUUAGAAGGCUUCCGCUCCAUGGGCCUACCGAAGGAGGUACAGAACAUAAGAUAAAUUGCUCAAAUAAGACAAGUUAAUAUGUUAUGAACUUAGCAUUUCUCCAUCAUUUACCUCUCAUCCUGAGUAGGUCCGUCAGCAUUGCUUUGCCGGCCACUGUGAUGGAAAAAUGUAUGUAAGUUAGGGUCCAUAAAGAACCAUAAAUAACCAAGUGAAUAUUAGCAACUUAAUGAAAUAACAAUCUUAUAGGCUGCUUAUUGACUGCUAUAUGAACGUGUAAAAAUUUAAAUCCAGAAAAAAACAA